CCUACGGGAGGCUGCAGUGAGGAAUAUUGGUCAAUGGACGAGAGUCUGAACCAGCCAAGUAGCGUGAAGGAUGACUGCCCUAUGGGUUGUAAACUUCUUUUAUAUGGGAAUAAAAUGUUCCACGCAUGGGAUUUUGUAUGUACCAUAUGAAUAAGGAUCGGCUAACUCCGUGCCAGCAGCCGCGGUAAUACGGAGGAUCCGAGCGUUAUCCGGAUUUAUUGGGUUUAAAGGGAGCGUAGGUGGAUUGUUAAGUCAGUUGUGAAAGUUUGCGGCUCAACCGUAAAAUUGCAGUUGAAACUGGCAGUCUUGAGUACAGUAGAGGUGGGCGGAAUUCGUGGUGUAGCGGUGAAAUGCUUAGAUAUCACGAAGAACUCCGAUUGCGAAGGCAGUUCACUGGACUGCAACUGACACUGAGGCUCGAAAGUGUGGGUAUCAAACAGGAUUAGAUACCCUAGUAGUC
This 460-nucleotide ribosomal RNA is filed under the name uncultured bacterium. RNAcentral's name for it is "partial 16S ribosomal RNA". It matches the Rfam family "Bacterial small subunit ribosomal RNA", at positions 338 to 795 of the family's 1533-position model. The record is from RNAcentral.